Molecule: ribosomal RNA, 247 nt
Filed under: uncultured Eubacteriales bacterium
Lineage: Bacteria; Bacillati; Bacillota; Clostridia; Eubacteriales
Description: uncultured Clostridiales bacterium partial 16S ribosomal RNA
Rfam family: Bacterial small subunit ribosomal RNA
Source: RNAcentral
UAGUGGCGGACGGGUGAGUAACACGUGAGCAACCUGCCUAUCAGAGGGGGAUAACGAUUGGAAACGAUCGCUAAUACCGCAUGACAUAGCGGAACCGCAUGGUUUUGUUAUCAAAGAUUUUAUCGCUGAUAGAUGGGCUCGCGUCCGAUUAGAUAGUUGGUGGGGUAACGGCCUACCAAGUCGACGAUCGGUAGCCGGACUGAGAGGUCGAACGGCCACAUUGGGACUGAGACACGGCCCAGACUCC